GGGCUAUUAGCUCAGUGGUUAGAGCGCGCCCCUGAUAAGUGCGGGGCGAGGCCUCUGGUUCAAAUCCAGAAUGGCCCA
Molecule: transfer RNA, 78 nt
Filed under: Klebsormidium flaccidum
Lineage: Eukaryota; Viridiplantae; Streptophyta; Klebsormidiophyceae; Klebsormidiales; Klebsormidiaceae
Description: tRNA-Ile
Rfam family: tRNA
About the family: Transfer RNA (tRNA) molecules are approximately 80 nucleotides in length.
Source: RNAcentral